UACAGAGGGUGCGAGCGUUAAUCGGAAUUACUGGGCGUAAAGCGCAUGUAGGUGGAAGAGCAAGUUUGAUGUGAAAGCCCUGGGCUUAACCUGGGAAUGGCGUUGAAGACUGUUCAUCUAGAGUUUGACAGAGGGUCGUGGAAUUUCCGGUGUAGCGGUGAAAUGCGUAGAGAUCGGAAAGAACACCAGUGGCGAAGGCGGCGACCUGGGUCUAAACUGACACUGAGGUGCGAAAGCGUGGGGAGCAAACAGG
RNAcentral lists this ribosomal RNA (253 nucleotides) under uncultured bacterium. RNAcentral's name for it is "partial 16S ribosomal RNA". It matches the Rfam family "Bacterial small subunit ribosomal RNA", at positions 524 to 776 of the family's 1533-position model. The record is from RNAcentral.